Molecule: ribosomal RNA, 264 nt
Filed under: uncultured bacterium
Lineage: Bacteria
Description: partial 16S ribosomal RNA
Rfam family: Bacterial small subunit ribosomal RNA
Source: RNAcentral
UUCGAGUGGCGGACGGGUGAGUAACGCGUGGGUAACCUGCCUUACACAGGGGGAUAACACCUGGAAACAGGUGCUAAUACCGCAUAAGCGCACAGGGCCGCAUGGCCCGGUGUGAAAAACUCCGGUGGUGUAAGAUGGACCCGCGUCUGAUUAGCUUGUUGGCGGGGUAGGGGCCCACCAAGGCGACGAUCAGUAGCCGGCCUGAGAGGGUGGGCGGCCACAUUGGGACUGAGACACGGCCCAAACUCCUACGGAAGGCAGCAG